ACGUUCAGCCAAUGUGAAUAUUGCGAACAUCCUUUUUCAUUCGUCUGGGCCCGCGUCCAAGGGCUACCCUCUCUUUCUCCAGAUUACGCAAUCAUCAGCCAGCAUACGCGAAACACGUUCGUAAACACACGCACGCGCAACCCACAUAUAUAACUAAAUGAAUAAGCACUCCGCUUCUGUCUACGUUAGUAGUAAUUAAUAAUGAAAUAAAUCGCAGGCUGCUGGAUUUAUCAAAUUAAUACACUCCGUUCUACAAAAUCGAGCAACUCUCUGAACUCCUAUAUUGUCAAACAAGAGAUUAAAACUGUUUCAAAAGAAGGAGAACGAAGCGGGGAAUGGUUCAGUAGUAUCGGAAUAAUUCUCCUUGAUGAAUAGAGAAAAGGAAGUUGGGAAGUACACGAGACGAUCAGGCAGAUGCCGCUGACCUACAUGUUGA
Long non-coding RNA from Bombus huntii, 436 nucleotides. RefSeq lists it as uncharacterized. The record is from RefSeq and is a predicted model, not a curated record. Lineage: Eukaryota; Metazoa; Arthropoda; Insecta; Hymenoptera; Apidae. The transcript has 2 exons.